This is a non-coding RNA of Psammomys obesus (fat sand rat), 829 nucleotides long. Lineage: Eukaryota; Metazoa; Chordata; Mammalia; Rodentia; Muridae. The record is from the annotation of a RefSeq genome assembly.
AUGGAAAAUGUGGGCAAUCCUGGGUCUGUGCUCAAGACGGUGAGGAAGGACUUGUUCUUGGCCAGCCCUUUUCUGCUGUGUUCCUAUGCUGAGCAGUUCUUCGGACCAGGGACACAACUCACAGUCCUAGAUGAUCUGAGCAAGGUGAGCCCACCCAAGGUCACCUUGUUUGAACCAUCAAAAGCAGAGAUCGCCGAAAAGAAAAAGGCUACCCUGGUGUGCUUGGCCAGGGGCUUCUACCCUGACCACGUGGAGCUGAGCUGGUGGGUGAAUGGGAAGAAGGUCGACAGUGGGGUCAGCACAGACCCUCAGCCCUACCUGGAGGACAGUGACCUCAGCUACUGCCUGAGCAGCCGCCUGAGGGUCUCUGCAACCUUCUGGCACAAUCCUCGCAACCACUUCCGCUGCCAAGUGCAGUUCUAUGGGCUUACAGAGGAAGACCAGUGGGACAAGAGCUCUCCCAAACCUGUCACACAGAACAUCAGUGCAGAGGUCUGGGGCCAAGCAGACUGUGGAAUCACCUCAGCAUCCUAUCAUCAGGGGGUCGUCUCUGCCACUAUCCUUUAUGAGAUCCUCCUGGGCAAAGCCACCCUGUAUGCUCUGCUGGUCAUUGCCCUGGUGCUCAUGCCCAUGAUCAAGAAAAAAAAAUCCUGAGACCAACUCUUGUGUAUCCUGAGUUGUUGUUCAUCCUGACCAUAGAUUCUCCAGCAUCUUCCGUAAUCCUUGUUCCUAAGGAGUUGUUGCAUCUUCCUCCACGGAUAUUCCCUCCUUCCUCAUUGCUUCCCAAAGACUGACCUCUUGACUCUGAAACAGACUAAAUUAAUAAAAA